GGAAUAUUAGAAAUGGACGAAAGUCUGAUCUAGCAACACCGCGUGUGCGAUGAAGGCCUUCGGGUUGUAAAGCACUUUUUGGAAGGAUUAGGAAGGAAUGUACUUCCAGAAUAAGUCUCGGCUAACUACGUGCCAGCAGCCGCGGUAACACGUAGGAGGCGAACGUUAUCCGGAUUUACUGGGCGUAAAGCGCGUGUAGGUGGUUCUGUAAGUAGGGCGUGAAAGCUCCUGGCUCAACUGGGAGAGGCCGUUCUAAACUGCAGAGCUAGAGGAUGGUAGAGGGAGGUGGAAUUCCGGGUGUAGCGGUGGAAUGCGCAGAUAUCCGGAGGAACACCAGUGGCGAAGGCGGCCUCCUGGACCAUUCCUGACACUCAGACGCGAAAGCUAGGGUAGCAAACGG
RNAcentral lists this ribosomal RNA (400 nucleotides) under uncultured bacterium. RNAcentral describes it as "bacterial SSU rRNA". It matches the Rfam family "Bacterial small subunit ribosomal RNA", at positions 358 to 775 of the family's 1533-position model. The record is from RNAcentral.